Molecule: long non-coding RNA, 1130 nt
Organism: Folsomia candida
Lineage: Eukaryota; Metazoa; Arthropoda; Collembola; Entomobryomorpha; Isotomidae
Exons: 2
Source: RefSeq, a predicted model, not a curated record
GUUUAACCACAAAACUGCGAUUUCUUUCCCUAAAUGCCAAUUAGGUACUCCAGUUUCUCGGAAAAGUUGUACUAAUGAACAGUUUACCACUUAACUUAUGGUAAUCACCUUUACGUCUCCAUAUUUGAGCAACCACGUGCCAGACCAUGACUUCCACGACGUGCCUCUUUCUCUCCCUCCUUGCCCUUAGUCAUCCCUUAUUCGUCGCUUCGGACGACAACCCAAUCACCAUUACGAACCAAUCCACCAAAAAGGCCCUUUCCAGUUUGAAGUACCCCUCCCUCGUUGUAGGGGAGAACGACAAUUCUGCCCAUUUUGCCUGGAUGGUCACCCCCGACGGCAGGAUUAUGGCGCACGACAAUGCCACCACGGAAGGCAAACGUGCCUGCGUCACGGUCAAGGAAGACCAACGAUGGGCAGUACUUGCCCCUUGUCAGGCCGGAUUGCCCGGGCAGACUUGGUUUGUAACGGGCAACUUCAUUUUCUCAAAGGAACGAAACCAAUGUUUGGACAACAAAUUUGACCAAAUUGUGGGAAUGGGGGACCGUUGCCGCUAUUCCCCAGAGGAACAUUGGAUCGUGGAACCCUAUGUUGCAUGAAAAUAGUUACGUUAAAAAAAAUGUAUAUCGUUAAUAAAUAGUGAAUGAAAGUGAACAGGUAUGACAGGCCCGUAGCGACGUUUUGUUCGGCCUGGAGAGUUUGGCCGUGGUACGGCCUCACAUGCCCCCCAAAAAUAUUGAAUCCAUGAUUUUACCUAGUGUGUUUUAUUGCUGACCCUGAUUUUACCUAGUGUAUUUGAUUACUGACUUUGAUUUUACCCAGUGUAUUUUAUUGUUGACACUGAUUUUAUUUAGUGUAUACUACUGCUGACCUUGAUCUUAUCUAGUGUAUUCCAUUGAAUCCCUGAUUUUAUCUAGUGUAUUCUAUUACUGACCCUGGCGGUACGGCCUGGAGAGUGUCUCUCCACCUCUCUCCACCGUCGCUACGGCGCUGAGGUAUGAUCAAGUAGCUUCUUUUCAGCUUACGUCAUCCCAAAAUCAAAUAUGCACCACAUUAUGUAGCCCACAUACCAUAUCGAUAAAAAUUCAAGUAUUAUAUAAUUAAAUAAUUUUAUUCAAACUCUACAAAAA